CACGUAGGGCGCAAGCGUUGUCCGGAAUUAUUGGGCGUAAAGAGCGUGUAGGCGGCCAGAUAAGUCCGCUGUGAAAUCUCGAGGCUCAACUUCGAGCUGUCGGUGGAAACUGUCUGGCUAGAGUCCGGAAGAGGAGAAUGGAAUUCCUGGUGUAGCGGUGAAAUGCGCAGAUAUCAGGAAGAACACCCGUGGCGAAGGCGGUUCUCUGGGACGGUACUGACGCUGAGACGCGAAAGCGUGGGGAGCGAACAGG
RNAcentral lists this ribosomal RNA (253 nucleotides) under uncultured bacterium. RNAcentral's name for it is "partial 16S ribosomal RNA". It matches the Rfam family "Bacterial small subunit ribosomal RNA", at positions 524 to 776 of the family's 1533-position model. The record is from RNAcentral.